AAAAAGACAAAUACUGAGUUUCCGUGUCUAACGUUUGACUAUCCGUCUUAUAUGAAUUUUUUUAUCAUUAGUAAUUUUAUUAUUGUUAGAUGAUAAAACAUGAUUAAUACUUUAUGCGUGACUUGUCUUUUUAAUUUUUUUCAUAGUUUUUUUAAAAUAAGACGGAUGGUCAACGACACGAAAAUGUAGAGUUUGUCUUUAU
Molecule: microRNA precursor, 202 nt
Organism: Oryza rufipogon (brownbeard rice)
Lineage: Eukaryota; Viridiplantae; Streptophyta; Magnoliopsida; Poales; Poaceae
Rfam family: MIR812 microRNA precursor family
Source: Rfam